CUUGGUCAUUUAGAGGAAGUAAAAGUCGUAACAAGGUUUCCGUAGGUGAACCUGCGGAAGGAUCAUUAGUGAACGCCCUCACGGGCUUAUAACUAUUCCAAACCUCUGUGAACCGUGCCCUUCGGGGCUAUUUUACAAACAUGGUGUAAUGAACGUCAUAUAUCAUAACAAAACAAAACUUUCAACAACGGAUCUCUUGGCUCUCGCAUCGAUGAAGAACGCAGCGAAAUGCGAUAAGUAAUGUGAAUUGCAGAAUUCAGUGAAUCAUCGAAACUUUGAACGCACCUUGCGCCCUCUGGUAUUCCGGAGGGCAUGCCUGUUUGAGUGUCAUGUAGACUCAAUCCCUCGGGUUUCCGAGGAGAUUGGACUUGGGUGUUGCCGCUCUGCCGGCUCGCCUUAAAAGACUUAGCGGGAUAGCACCGUAGUCGGCGUAAUAAGUUUCGUCGGUGAAGGUUGUGAUGACUGCUUACAAUCGCCCUCGGGCAAUUUUUGACUCUGACCUCAAAUCAGGUAGGACUACCCGCUGAACUUAAGCAUAUCAAUAAGCGGAGGA
Molecule: ribosomal RNA, 553 nt
Filed under: uncultured Cryptococcus
Lineage: Eukaryota; Fungi; Basidiomycota; Tremellomycetes
Description: eukaryotic LSU rRNA
Rfam family: 5.8S ribosomal RNA (bases 177-330)
Source: RNAcentral